This 5212-nucleotide long non-coding RNA is filed under the name Olea europaea (common olive). Its description in RNAcentral is "long non-coding RNA (OEUR_LNC004164)". Lineage: Eukaryota; Viridiplantae; Streptophyta; Magnoliopsida; Lamiales; Oleaceae. The record is from RNAcentral.
CCAAGAACAGCUAAAUUUUCAGUGCUGGUGGUGGUUUUCUCUUCCUUCUCGUUCGGUCUCCUCCUCUCCCUCAUUCUCAUCAUUUUCCGGAAACAGUAUCCUUCCUUAUUUGCAGAUAGCGCCGAAGUUGAGAAACUUGUGUACGACCUCACACCAUUGCUGGCAUUUUGUGUUGUCAUCAACAAUAUUCAACCAGCUCUAUCAGGUACAUGCAAUUUAUACGUUUUUCCAUGAUAUCCUAUGAAUUAUGCGUUCGUCAUGAGACAUAAAUAUUAAUAGUGAGAAGUUUAUUUAUAUUACUCUUCUAUUUACGAAUUAGAAAGAUAAUGGCAUGUUUAUGGGCUACAAAUUAGAAAGAAGUAAGAUCUGAUAGUAUUCCAUCGAUAAACAUAUUGGUUGCAGGAGUUGCCAUCGGGGCUGGAUGGCAAGCUAUAGUUGCUUACGUGAAUAUUGCAUGCUAUUACUUGUUUGGCAUCCCUUUGGGGCUCGUAUUGGGAUUUAUCUUCGACAGGGGUGUUCAAGUAAGUUGUCAGUAAAAUAAAGUUCUAUAAUCCAAAACCAUUUACAGUUUCACAAUAACUUUUAUACUGAUGAUUUUUCAGGGCAUCUGGGUUGGAAUGACAAUGGGAACAAUUCUACAAACUAUAGUCCUCUUUUGGCUUGUUUACAGAACUAAUUGGAAGAAAGAGGUUUUAGUUCUUUCGUUUCUGUUUCUUUUUAUUGAGGACUAAGAUUUAAUUAUAUUCAUAAAUAUUUGCAUGAAUCUCUUUCUUUUCUGGUAUGAUGCAGGCUUCUGUUGCGUCACAAAGGAUCAAACGAUGGGGAGGGGAAGUACAAGAUAAAUCAAAUAAUGUAGAGCAAUGAAAAAAUUGUUGUUGAAGAAAAAUACACCUAUUGUAUAAUCAGGAGGAAUUUGGACUUGCUAUACAACUUACCAAAUUGGGUAGAGGACUCAAUUUUAGUCGACUUUUCUCUAAGUUUAUGUCCAAGGGAAAAUCUAAAUUUAUGUUUAAGAGAAAAUCUUUGUAUUUUUUAUUUUUAAUUAUCUUGCUAUUAUUAUUUUCUCUUGCAAUUUUUCUUUUUCAUUUUGUCUUUUCUUACAAUCUUUAGAAUCUUCUAUCAAAAAACUUCGAUACUGACAAAUAGAAGGUUCAAUGAUUUGUUUCUUGAUCUGUAAAGAAGAAUCAUCUUUAUUUCUAUUUAUUAUGGGUAAUAUGCGACUUUCUAUAACAACUAAUUUACCAGUUUCUCGAUUUUCAAAAUAAGUAUUAAUAAAUUCUUUAAAAUUUUCUAUUAAACAAUUGAAGAAGUAUAUUCAUCUAACGGCAUUAAAUAUUAAAAUUUUAAAAACAAUAUGUUUGUAAUGACCUUGUAGCACUUUACAGUUCGGCAAAUUAAUUUUUUCGGAUUAUAAAUUGAUCUUUUUUUUUUUUUUUUUUUAAACUCUAUCUUAACUUUUCUUCUUAACCUCCUAACAGAAGACUCAAGACUAUAACAAAAAAGAUUUUCAUCAUGUUUAAAAAUGUUUAAACAAACUUCCUUAAUUGGUAUACAAAAUUGUUAGGAUUUUUACCAAUCUCCUAUGUCCCAGGAAACAAUGAUCUUCACAGAUUUGCAUGACAAACAGGAGAGAAAAUGCAGCAGAAAUGGUAGAAUAUAAAACUAGCAAAGAACUCAGAUAAAUGGACACUAGAAUAGCUUGUUUUAGGGACUAAAUUUCAUCAACCAAUGCAGGGAAUUUAACCCCCAGUCAAUCUGCCAUUACAAGAGGAAAUAUUACAGUGCUUAUCUUACACAAAACAACACCACUCAUCACCCAACCAGGAAUAACUAGAAAGCUUCCAUAAAGUUUACAAAGAUUGCCUGCAGAGAGCUCUCUCUCUCAAUCCUACUUUCGCUCUCUACAGAAAAUGUGCUCCCCAUAUUUUCUUGCCCACCCCCUUUCACGUAUCAGACCUAGUCCUAUUUAUAGCCACAGAUCAAGAGACUUACAAGAAUAUGUGUGUAAUAUUCAGCUAAAAUCACUACCAGAAAAUUAGUUAGAACCAAAGGCUCCUAACUGAUUUUCUAACUCACUAACUAAUCCAACUAAGGAGUUUAAUAACCGAAUCAAGAAUCAAUAUUUUCUCUACAAUCUCCACCUUUGAGUCUUGAUGAGUGUUGUUAAACCAAGAUUGACUAAAAAAUUUCAAUAACACCCUACAUGAUUGAUCAUCCGGUUUUAACCUUUAGCAAUCCAAUGCUCCAUGCAUCUUGCUAACUGGAUUAUUUUUGGUGAGCAAAACAGCAGAUAAACUUCAGUGGCUACCUUGACAACUUCAACUUCCCUCUUGGAAAUUACUUCUUGCACACAAAAGACUUCAAAUUUCUCCUGCUUGUGGCACUUUGGACAGUCAAGACUUCCUCUAACUUCAGCUUCAUCAUCUGCAUCCUCUUUUUGCAGAUUACCAGAUCCACCUUCUUGUUCAUUUUUCUGGUUAUUUUCUUGUGAUGUGUCCAACACAACCUGCUCCUCUUUGUUUUCAAACAUGGCAGCUUCAUUGACUUUAUUCACCUGCAAAACACAAAGUAGUCCCUUCACCACAACCAAGAAUCCUUUCAUAACAUCUAGUUCUUUACCAAAUAUUUUAUAUUUACAGCUUAGAAACGUGGUACUUUAUGUCCUUAGUCCUAUUUGCUGGAUACUUGAAGAACGCAGAAGUGGCAGUCGAUGUUUUAUCUAUAUGGUGAGUUGAUUUAUUAUUGUCCACACAAUAUACAACUUGCUUAAUUUGUUUUCUUUUUGUGUAAUUAUCUUUGUUUUUAUUUGCUUUUUUUAUUAGUCAUUUUUUUAGAACCGUCAAUUUAGGUGAUAGGAUAAAGUGAUAGCGCAUAACAUUAGAAAAAUUAUUUAUAUUUUAAAAAAUAGAUAUUGUAUUUAUAACUAAUUUAUAUAUGAUAGAAUAGUCACCUAGAGAAAAGAAAUAUAAUCGUGGAAAAAGAAAUUAUGAUAUAUUUAUAUAAUGAAAUGAUGAUAUAUCAUAUUUUAAUCAAAUUCUAUGGAAAUUGGAUUUUUAUUUUUUUGGAAAAUCAAGCUAUAUGGAAAUUUCAUGUUAAGUUAAUAUAAAGUAUUAUUCAUAGGUUUUUUUAUUAGAAUGUAAAAUGUUAACAAGUUUAAAAAAUAAUAGGCACUGGGUUUUAAUCAAGUGGCAUUGAAAAUUACAUAUUGACACAUCAAAAGAUAAUUAAAUUUAACAUAUUGAUUUAGUAUAAAAAUUUAUUUAUCCAGAAUCUAAUAAUUUAGUUAUUUAAUGAACUAGAAAUACUAAUUUCAAGUAAAAUUUCAUUUAAAUUAUCUUAUGACAUAUUCAACACAAUCAAAUAUCUAAGUCAUUUUUAAGUUAUCUUAAUAAUUUACUGCCUUGAAAUUUUUAUUAUAUUGUAAAUCUUUUAGAUAAAAUCUAACUUUACUUCUACGUUUUGUUUCUUGGAUAAUUUAAUUAAAGUUUCAUAACGAUUUUAAUAUUUUAGAAGUUUAAUUUUGUUGUGUGAUUGAAUUUUAAAAUUAUACCUUGUCACUUUUUUUUCUCGAAGAUCUUCUUUCUUUGUUUCGCUUUUAACACGAAAUUUUUGUGCAGAAAUAUUUCUCAUACCACUUUUCAAUGAAAUAACUCUAAAAUGAUUUUUUACGACGAACAUCUUUAGCAUUUAAAGUGAAACUUGUAGCAUAUACUACCAAUUUGGAAAGAUUUCAAUCUUAUUUCUGUAGAAUUUAAAAUGUAGUAUACAAAAGAUUAUUACACUACAAUGCGGAAUAAUAAACUAUCAAAGUGUAAAAUUGAACAAAAAACGACCCAAAGCUUCUUUAACACCACCAAUGAAGUGUUAUUGAUGUUGAGCUUAGAUUUGUGUCACACCGAAUCAUGCAUCGUCGUCCACGGGAAUAAUAAUGGAUAUAUCGAGAAAGAAUCCGUCGGAAGCCACCAAGAAUUUCGCUGGAGUUAUGGAAAGCUCCCACUUGGUUACCUCUUUAUUCUCUCUCUCUCUCAAAUAUUAUGCCAAGUCCAAGUAUGAGAGAAUCAAGAGGUCUUGUAAUUAUAGAGCCAAUUCAUUUGAAUUCAAAAUUCAAAUAUUGUAUUAUGGUCAAGAGAAUGACAACACUAGUAUAGGUAAUUGACCACAAGAUUAAAUCCAAUGAUUGGAUUUAAUUUAUGAUCCAUAUUACUCCAUAACUAAUACAAUUCAAGUCACAUUCUCUAGAUCAAUCAACUUGCACCAAUAAUAGGAUGUGAUCCACCUUACAAUUUCUUAUCACAUAAACUCGUCGUUACAGAUUGUCAAUGUUUUUUCUAAUCUUAUCAUUCCCCCUUUCCUUAAGUUCGAUAUAUGAUUGCUAAUGUAUUUUAAAUCAAAAUUUAGUCGGAACAAAGGUGGUUUUUUUAUGUUGUUUAUUAGAUUGUUGCUGUACAAGUCCAUUUUAUGAUUGCUGAAACAAAUUAAUUUCAAUUUUACAGCACGAACAUAGUGGGAUGGGCUGUCAUGGUAGCCAUGGGAUUUAAUGCAGCAAUAAGGUUAUUUUUGCCUCAAUCUAAUUGUAUCCUCUUUUACUUUGGAAAUUUACCUUUUCUACAGAUAUAAUCGAAGAACACUUUUUCUUGUAUACAGGAUCAUAAAUUUUUAUGUUGGUAGCAAAGUUUAACAUACAGAUGAAUAUUAAUGUAUCAUGCAGUGUAAGAGUGUCAAAUGAACUUGGCGCCGCUCAUCCAAGAACAGCUAAAUUUUCAGUGCUGGUGGUGGUUUUCUCUUCCUUCUCGUUCGGUCUCCUCCUCUCCCUCAUUCUCAUCAUUUUCCGGAAACAGUAUCCUUCCUUAUUUGCAGAUAGCGCCGAAGUUGAGAAACUUGUGUACGACCUCACACCAUUGCUGGCAUUUUGUGUUGUCAUCAACAAUAUUCAACCAGCUCUAUCAGGUACAUGCAAUUUAUACGUUUUUCCAUGAUAUCCUAUGAAUUAUGCGUUCGUCAUGAGACAUAAAUAUUAAUAGUGAGAAGUUUAUUUAUAUUACUCUUCUAUUUACGAAUUAGAAAGAUAAUGGCAUGUUUAUGGGCUACAAAUUAGAAAGAAGUAAGAUCUGAUAGUAUUCCAUCGAUAAACAUAUUGGUUGCAGGAGUUGCCAUCGGGGCUGGAUGGCAAGCUAUAGUUGCUUACGUGAAUAUUGCAUGCUAUUACUUGUUU